AGCUGAGUUUGAUCCUGGCUCAGAUUGAACGCUGGCGGCAGGCCUAACACAUGCAAGUCGAGCGGGAACUUCGGUUCUAGCGGCGGACGGGUGAGUAAUGCGUAGGAAGCUACCCGAUAGAGGGGGAUACCAGUUGGAAACGACUGUUAAUACCGCAUAAUGUCUACGGACCAAAGUGUGGGACCUUCGGGCCACAUGCUAUCGGAUGCGCCUACGUGGGAUUAGCUAGUUGGUGAGGUAAUGGCUCACCAAGGCGACGAUCUGUAGCUGGUCUGAGAGGACGACCAGCCACACUGGAACUGAGACACGGUCCAGACUCCGUACGGGAGCAGCAGUGGGGAAUAUUGCGCAAGUGGGGG
RNAcentral lists this ribosomal RNA (359 nucleotides) under uncultured Chromatiaceae bacterium. Its description in RNAcentral is "bacterial SSU rRNA". It matches the Rfam family "Bacterial small subunit ribosomal RNA", at positions 1 to 378 of the family's 1533-position model. The record is from RNAcentral. Lineage: Bacteria; Pseudomonadati; Pseudomonadota; Gammaproteobacteria; Chromatiales; Chromatiaceae.